RNAcentral lists this ribosomal RNA (482 nucleotides) under uncultured bacterium. Its description in RNAcentral is "partial 16S ribosomal RNA". It matches the Rfam family "Bacterial small subunit ribosomal RNA", at positions 30 to 507 of the family's 1533-position model. The record is from RNAcentral.
AUUGAACGCUGGCGGCAUGCUUUACACAUGCAAGUCGAACGGUAACAGGCCGCCAGGUGCUGACGAGUGGCGAACGGGUGAGUAAUGCGUCGGAACGUGCCCAGUCGUGGGGGAUAACUACUCGAAAGAGUAGCUAAUACCGCAUACGAUCCAUGGAUGAAAGCGGGGGACCGUAAGGCCUCGCGCGAUUGGAGCGGCCGAUGUCAGAUUAGGUAGUUGGUGGGGUAAAGGCUCACCAAGCCAACGAUCUGUAGCUGGUCUGAGAGGACGACCAGCCACACUGGGACUGAGACACGGCCCAGACUCCUACGGGAGGCAGCAGUGGGGAAUUUUGGACAAUGGGCGCAAGCCUGAUCCAGCAAUGCCGCGUGCAGGAAGAAGGCCUUCGGGUUGUAAACUGCUUUUGUACGGAACGAAACGGCUCUGGUUAAUACCCGGGGCUAAUGACGGUACCGGAAGAAUAAGCACCGGCUAACUACGUG